RNAcentral lists this ribosomal RNA (258 nucleotides) under uncultured bacterium. Its description in RNAcentral is "partial 16S ribosomal RNA". It matches the Rfam family "Bacterial small subunit ribosomal RNA", at positions 99 to 353 of the family's 1533-position model. The record is from RNAcentral.
CGAACGGGUGAGUAACGCGUGAGGAACCUGCCUCAAAGAGGGGGACAACAGUUGGAAACGACUGCUAAUACCGCAUAAGCCCACGGCUCGGCAUCGAGCAGAGGGAAAAGGAGCAAUCCGCUUUGAGAUGGCCUCGCGUCCGAUUAGCUAGUUGGUGAGGUAACGGCCCACCAAGGCGACGAUCGGUAGCCGGACUGAGAGGUUGAACGGCCACAUUGGGACUGAGACACGGCCCAGACUCCUACAGGAGGCAGCAUG